RNAcentral lists this ribosomal RNA (118 nucleotides) under Salmo salar (Atlantic salmon). Lineage: Eukaryota; Metazoa; Chordata; Actinopteri; Salmoniformes; Salmonidae. The record is from RNAcentral.
GCUACGGCCAUAUCAGCCUGGGUACGCCCGAUCUCGUCUGAUCUCGGAAGCUAAGCAGGGUCGGGCCUGGUUAGUACUUGGAUGGGAGACCGCCUUGGAAUACCAGGUGCUGUAAGCA